AUGAAGCAGUCCAUGGACAUGAGGGGGUUGUUGAGGUCAUCCACCAAUUCGCCACCCCCACCGCCGGCGUGGCCUGCCGUUGCCCGGACGCUCUUCCUCCUACCGGCUGAAUCUGUUGCUGAUCGACACGACGAGGAAGAAGACGACGACGAAGGCCUCUUCUUAUUCUUGCAAGACGCCGAGCCUCCUGCCACCGUUCUCAAAGGCGGCGCUCGAGGGGGCAACGGCCGCACGCGCCUCGCUGCCGCUGUCGUCGCCGGAGCUAUACGGUGGCUGUUGCUGCUGGUGCCAGGCUUCUUCUUCGUCGGAGAUAUGACCACGGACAGAGACGGGGGCGUUCUUGGCAAUAACAGUGGACGUCGAGCAGCGGAGGCCGGCCGGGGGAGCUUCUUCUUCUUCCUGUUGUUACUGUCGGGGUCGAGCACGACGACCUCCAUGUUGUCCAUGUCCCUGCAGGCGCGGACCUUGAGGUAUCCAGCCGAGAAGGGACCUGUACCUGACGACGACAACCACGACGAGGAAAAGGAGGGGUGA
This 534-nucleotide ribosomal RNA is filed under the name Triticum aestivum (bread wheat). RNAcentral describes it as "partial small subunit ribosomal RNA". The record is from RNAcentral. Lineage: Eukaryota; Viridiplantae; Streptophyta; Magnoliopsida; Poales; Poaceae.